This 466-nucleotide ribosomal RNA is filed under the name uncultured bacterium. Its description in RNAcentral is "partial 16S ribosomal RNA". It matches the Rfam family "Bacterial small subunit ribosomal RNA", at positions 28 to 507 of the family's 1533-position model. The record is from RNAcentral.
GACGAACGCUGGCGGCGUGCUUAACACAUGCAAGUCGAACGGAAAGGCCCUGCUUGCCGGGUACUCGAGUGGCGAACGGGUGAGUAACACGUGGGUGAUCUGCCCUGCACUUCGGGAUAAGCUUGGGAAACUGGGUCUAAUACCGGAUAGGAGCCAUCUUUAGUGUGGUGGUUGGAAAGUUUUUUCGGUGUAGGAUGAGCUCGCGGCCUAUCAGCUUGUUGGUGGGGUAAUGGCCUACCAAGGCGGCGACGGGUAGCCGGCCUGAGAGGGUGUACGGCCACAUUGGGACUGAGAUACGGCCCAGACUCCUACGGGAGGCAGCAGUGGGGAAUAUUGCACAAUGGGCGCAAGCCUGAUGCAGCGACGCCGCGUGGGGGAUGAAGGCCUUCGGGUUGUAAACUCCUUUCGCUAGGGACGAAGCUUUUUUGUGACGGUACCUAGAUAAGAAGCACCGGCUAACUACGUG